GAUGAACGCUGGCGGCGUGCCUAAUACAUGCAAGUCGAGCGAACAGACGAGGAGCUUGCUCCUCUGACGUUAGCGGCGGACGGGUGAGUAACACGUGGAUAACCUACCUAUAAGACUGGGAUAACUUCGGGAAACCGGAGCUAAUACCGGAUAACAUGUUGAACCGCAUGGUUCAACAGUGAAAGACGGUCUUGCUGUCACUUAUAGAUGGUUCCGCGCCGCAUUAGCUAGUUGGUAAGGUAACGGCUUACCAAGGCAACGAUGCGUAGCCGACCUGAGAGGGUGAUCGGCCACACUGGAACUGAGACACGGUCCAGACUCCUACGGGAGGCAGCAGUAGGGAAUCUUCCGCAAUGGGCGAAAUCCUGACGGAGCAACGCCGCGUGAGUGAAGAAGGUCUUCGGAUCGUAAAACUCUGUUAUUAGGGAAGAACAAAUGUGUAAGUAACUAUGCACGUCUUGACGGUACCUAAUCAGAAAGCCACGGCUAACUACGUG
This 497-nucleotide ribosomal RNA is filed under the name uncultured bacterium. Its description in RNAcentral is "partial 16S ribosomal RNA". It matches the Rfam family "Bacterial small subunit ribosomal RNA", at positions 28 to 507 of the family's 1533-position model. The record is from RNAcentral.